RNAcentral lists this ribosomal RNA (250 nucleotides) under uncultured bacterium. RNAcentral's name for it is "partial 16S ribosomal RNA". It matches the Rfam family "Bacterial small subunit ribosomal RNA", at positions 524 to 773 of the family's 1533-position model. The record is from RNAcentral.
UACGGAGGGUGCAAACGUUGCUCGGAAUCAUUGGGCGUAAAGCGCGCGUAGGCGGUCCGGUUAGUCGGGUGUGAAAGCCCUAGGCUUAACCUAGGAAGUGCAUCCGAAACUGCCGGGCUAGAGUACCGGAGAGGGCGACGGAAUUCCCGGUGUAGAGGUGAAAUUCGUAGAUAUCGGGAGGAACACCAGCGGCGAAGGCGGUCGCCUGGACGGAUACUGACGCUGAGGCGCGAAAGCGUGGGGAGCAAAC